RNAcentral lists this ribosomal RNA (440 nucleotides) under uncultured bacterium. RNAcentral describes it as "partial 16S ribosomal RNA". It matches the Rfam family "Bacterial small subunit ribosomal RNA", at positions 338 to 795 of the family's 1533-position model. The record is from RNAcentral.
CCUACGGGAGACUGCAGUAGGGAAUAUUGCUCAAUGGGGGAAACCCUGAAGCAGCAACGCCGCGUGGAGGAUGAAGGUUUUGGGAUUUUAAACUCCUUUUGUUAGAGAAGAUAAUGACGGUAUCUAACGAAUAAGCACCGGCUAACUCCGUGCCAGCAGCCGCGGUAAUACGGAGGGUGCAAGCGUUACUCGGAAUCACUGGGCGUAAAGAGCGCGUAGGCGGGAUAGCAAGUCAGAUGUGAAAUCCUAUGGCUUAACCAUAGAACUGCAUUUGAAACUGUUAUUCUCGAGUAGGGGAGAGGUAGGUGGAAUUCUUGGUGUAGCGGUGAAAUCCGUAGAGAUCAAGAGGAAUCCUCAUUGCGAAGGCGACCUGCUAGAACCUAACUGACGCUGAUGCGCGAAAGCGUGGGGAGCAAACAGGAUUAGAUACCCGAGUAGUC